CAAGAGCAACACCUGCCAGGCUGAGCAGUGAAGGACAGACUCUUCAGUGAUGGUAGUCCAGUUCUGAGUAUUUUGUUUCAUGGAAUAGUCAGCAGCUACUCAGGCAGCUGGAGACAUAAGGAGAAAUCAACCCAACAAGAGCAGCCCUGCACAGCACCAUGAUGGAGUGGGGAAGAUGAACGGUAUUUGAAGACCGUGGUUCCAACAAGCCAAUUCAGUGCAGCCGGCCCUAAGGAAUCCAAGUCAAAGCAGUGCUCCCCAGUGCACAGAGUCCAGACGUUCUCAUACAACCCAGUAUCAUCUAAGAUCCAGAACUGUGGGUGGCAACAUCAUUGAUGGAUCAUCAGAUCUGUUUAGGUGGUUAUUAAACAAGAUUUUGUUGGAAUCGAAUGCAAUAAGAUAGAAUGGAAUGAAAAUGAACAGAACACAUCUCCCACGCUUUACAUGAGGACCUUUGUUCAUGUCAUUUGAAGUAACCAACAUCUACGUGAAAAACACAAGGGGCAAGACAUCCCAAAUUUUGUUCACUCAGUCAUCAUCUUUCCAUUUGAAUGUAAAUUAUUCUUUACACUAGUACUAGAACACCUAGUACAAUGCUUUGCACAUAGUCACUCAAUAAGUACACUGAACCUAAAUGAAUUAUGUAUUUUGAGAAGGCAGUAAAAACUAGAUGUUUGGUUUAACUAUCAAGUGGGAAAAAAUAGAAGUGGACAUAUGAAUAAUUGUGACA
RNAcentral lists this long non-coding RNA (730 nucleotides) under Pan troglodytes (chimpanzee). RNAcentral describes it as "long non-coding RNA NONPTRT014981". The record is from RNAcentral. Lineage: Eukaryota; Metazoa; Chordata; Mammalia; Primates; Hominidae.